This 468-nucleotide ribosomal RNA is filed under the name uncultured bacterium. RNAcentral describes it as "partial 16S ribosomal RNA". It matches the Rfam family "Bacterial small subunit ribosomal RNA", at positions 28 to 507 of the family's 1533-position model. The record is from RNAcentral.
GUCGAACGCUGGCGGCGUGCUUAACACAUGCAAGUCGAACGGAAAGGCCCUGCUUUUGUGGGGUGCUCGAGUGGCGAACGGGUGAGUAACACGUGAGUAACCUGCCCUUGACUUUGGGAUAACUUCAGGGAACUGGGGCUAAUACCGGAUAGGAGCUCCUGCUGCAUGGUGGGGGUUGGAAAGUUUCGGCGGUUGGGGAUGGACUCGCGGCUUAUCAGCUUGUUGGUGGGGUAGUGGCUUACCAAGGCUUUGACGGGUAGCCGGCCUGAGAGGGUGACCGGCCACAUUGGGACUGAGAUACGGCCCAGACUCCUACGGGAGGCAGCAGUGGGGAAUAUUGCACAAUGGGCGGAAGCCUGAUGCAGCAACGCCGCGUGCGGGAUGACGGCCUUCGGGUUGUAAACCGCUUUCGCCUGUGACGAAGCGUGAGUGACGGUAAUGGGUAAAGAAGCACCGGCUAACUACGUG